AGUGAACGCUGGCGGCAGGCCUAAUACAUGCAAGUCGAACGACCGCACAGUAAGAGCUUGCCCUUACGGGUGGCGAGUGGCGGACGGGUGAGGAAUACAUCGGAAUCUACUUUUUCGUGGGGGAUAACGUAGGGAAACUUACGCUAAUACCGCAUAUGACCUACGGGUGAAAGCAGGGGUUCUUCGGACCUUGCGCGAUAGAAUGAGCCGAAGUCGGAUUAGCUAGGUGGCGGGGUAAAGGCCCACCAAGGCGACGCACCGUAGCUGGUCUGACAGGAUGAUUAGCCACACUGGGACUGAGACACGGUCCAGACUCCGACGGGAGGCAACAGUGGGGAAUAUUGGACAAUGGGGGCAAGCCUGAUCCAGCCAUACCGGGGGGGUGAAGAAGGCCUUCGGGUUGGUAAGCCCUUUUGUUGGGAAAGAAAAGCAGCAGGUUAAUACCCCGCUGUUCUGACGGUACCCAAAGAAUAAGCACCGGCUAACUUCGUG
This 492-nucleotide ribosomal RNA is filed under the name uncultured bacterium. RNAcentral describes it as "partial 16S ribosomal RNA". It matches the Rfam family "Bacterial small subunit ribosomal RNA", at positions 29 to 507 of the family's 1533-position model. The record is from RNAcentral.